RNAcentral lists this long non-coding RNA (342 nucleotides) under Hordeum vulgare. RNAcentral describes it as "long non-coding RNA (HVUL_LNC018246)". Lineage: Eukaryota; Viridiplantae; Streptophyta; Magnoliopsida; Poales; Poaceae. The record is from RNAcentral.
UUGCCUGCAAUGCAAAUGGUCCCCACUGAAGAAAAGAUGUCUAGAUGUGUAGAUAGGCCGGCAUUUGAUUCUUGAGUUGGCACUUUAUUCCCUGUCUCUUUUCCCCUGUUUCCUGUGUUUCAUACAGAAAAGUACGUGAUACUUCCUUCCUUCUGCUUGUGCAGCAGAGGGUCCUGGCCGUACCACGUACGGAAAUCAAGAUCAGAUGCCAACCAGGUAGGCGACAUCAAAUCAGAUCCUCUGAGCUUCUAUAUAGGCCCUGUUUGGAUACUCUAACCGGGUUAGAGGUUAGAGUUAGAUUCUAACCCUCAACUAACCCUAAACUAACUCUAACCCAAANNN